RNAcentral lists this ribosomal RNA (418 nucleotides) under Bradyrhizobium sp. R-46220. RNAcentral describes it as "bacterial SSU rRNA". It matches the Rfam family "Bacterial small subunit ribosomal RNA", at positions 22 to 484 of the family's 1533-position model. Lineage: Bacteria; Pseudomonadati; Pseudomonadota; Alphaproteobacteria; Hyphomicrobiales; Nitrobacteraceae. The record is from RNAcentral.
GCUCAGAGCGAACGCUGGCGGCAGGCUUAACACAUGCAAGUCGAGCGGGCAUAGCAAUAUGUCAGCGGCAGACGGGUGAGUAACGCGUGGGAACGUACCUUUUGGUUCGGAACAACACAGGGAAACUUGUGCUAAUACCGGAUAAGCCCUUACGGGGAAAGAUUUAUCGCCGAAAGAUCGGCCCGCGUCUGAUUAGCUAGUUGGUGAGGUAAUGGCUCACCAAGGCGACGAUCAGUAGCUGGUCUGAGAGGAUGAUCAGCCACAUUGGGACUGAGACACGGCCCAAACUCCUACGGGAGGCAGCAGUGGGGAAUAUUGGACAAUGGGCGCAAGCCUGAUCCAGCCAUGCCGCGUGAGUGAUGAAGGCCCUAGGGUUGUAAAGCUCUUUUGUGCGGGAAGAUAAUGACGGUACCGCAAG